RNAcentral lists this ribosomal RNA (498 nucleotides) under uncultured bacterium. RNAcentral describes it as "partial 16S ribosomal RNA". It matches the Rfam family "Bacterial small subunit ribosomal RNA", at positions 28 to 507 of the family's 1533-position model. The record is from RNAcentral.
GAUGAACGCUGGCGGCGUGCCUAAUACAUGCAAGUCGAGCGAACAGACGAGGAGCUUGCUCCUCUGACGUUAGCGGCGGACGGGUGAGUAACACGUGGAUAACCUACCUAUAAGACUGGGAUAACUUCGGGAAACCGGAGCUAAUACCGGAUAAUAUAUUGAACCGCAUGGUUCAAUAGUGAAAGACGGUUUUGCUGUCACUUAUAGAUGGAUCCGCGCCGCAUUAGCUAGUUGGUAAGGUAACGGCUUACCAAGGCAACGAUGCGUAGCCGACCUGAGAGGGUGAUCGGCCACACUGGAACUGAGACACGGUCCAGACUCCUACGGGAGGCAGCAGUAGGGAAUCUUCCGCAAUGGGCGAAAGCUUGACGGAGCAACGCCGCGUGAGUGAUGAAGGUCUUCGGAUCGUAAAACUCUGUUAUUAAGGGAAGAACAAAUGUGUAAGUAACUAUGCACGUCUUGACGGUACCUAAUCAGAAAGCCACGGCUAACUACGUG